RNAcentral lists this unclassified non-coding RNA (82 nucleotides) under soil metagenome. RNAcentral's name for it is "partial internal transcribed spacer 1". The record is from RNAcentral.
GUAAAUGUCUUGGCUUUACGUUUUUGUGCACUGAUGAUGAUUUUUUUUCUUAUUCUGUUGUUUUUUAAGAAGAAAAGCAAUA